AAACAUUGCAUUGGAGCCAAAAAUUCAGUGGGAAAAAAUUAUGUUGUACCACCUAUAUCAUAGGAUUUGCCUGAUAUUUACUUGGACAGCCACUUAAAUCUUGGCAUUUAUUUCUGAAUUUUCAACAUUCUGUUGAUGCCUGUUUGGUUAUACUGCUCUGUGUUUUGUUCCCAAUGUUACUCAAAGCAUUCUUAUAAAGGUUAACACCCAA
This 211-nucleotide long non-coding RNA is filed under the name Mytilus galloprovincialis (Mediterranean mussel). Lineage: Eukaryota; Metazoa; Mollusca; Bivalvia; Mytilida; Mytilidae. The record is from RNAcentral.